Long non-coding RNA from Lycium barbarum (goji berry), 2916 nucleotides. RefSeq lists it as uncharacterized. The transcript has 2 exons. Lineage: Eukaryota; Viridiplantae; Streptophyta; Magnoliopsida; Solanales; Solanaceae. The record is from RefSeq and is a predicted model, not a curated record.
AACCAAACAACCCUAAACCGACAACCCCCUUUCAACGUUCACCUAACAGCCCUAACGCACCACCCAUCGCCGCCACCCUUGUCACGUCUGUCACCUCACCACCACCACGCCCAUAUCCCACAAAAUCCGCUACCUACACCCCUCUUCUCCUUUCUCACACUCCAUCUCUGAAGCUUGCAGGCUCCAUGUGCGAUUUCAGCGGAUUUCGGGGCCUUCCUUGGCUGUUUUGAGACAAGUUUCAAGGGCUAAGUUAACAAGGUUGAAGUGUUGGAAAUUCCUCUUGAAUAACCCAAAAAAAAAAAAAAUCUCAUCUGUUUUCUUAAAAAAAAAAAAAUCUCUCUUUUAACUUUAAGUUUGUUUUUUGUCGAAUUCUUUGGUGGUUCUCGGCUAAACAAGCUCCUCAAGCGGAUUCGGAGACUCGACGACGACGUUAGCCUCAGUUCGCUGUCAUAAAGAAGGUAAUCGCAUUCGUCCUAUCUUCGUCUUUAAUUUUGUUAAAGUAGAAAUGUAGUCGUCAAGUAUUUCUCAUCAUUUAUUUGGUUUAGUUGGCUAGAUUGUGUUUGCUUGUCGUUUGUUGUAAGUUAGUGUAAAACGACUAAUCAUACUUAGAAGAAUUGUUGGUUAAUUAAGAUGUAUGCAAUUUUGUCGCUUGGCUAAUUUUCUGUUUCAGUCAUUUGUCAAAAGCUGCCACGUCCUUAUUUUUUUCGGUAUAAAGCAUGGCUUAUGGAAACUGCGAAUUUAGAAAGGGAAAUCUACUUAUUUGUGAGAAUAUAUAGCUUAUACAUGGAUUUGAUGUUAUGUUUGUUGUUGUCCUCCUGUAUGUUCAAGUAAUUAACUAAAAGCCAUGCUUCUUUUCUAUAAGAAUUCAUGUUAGGUGACCAAGUGAACCUGUUAAGUCUGUUGUAAAUAUGGAAGUUUUCUCAUUGUUUAAGAAUUAUGGCUGUAACAUCUUGAAGUGUUUAUAUAGAUUCAGCUGUUUUGUUCAUCUUAUACCAUAUUACACUAUUUGCAGAUCGUAGAAUUUAAGCUUUAACAUUUGAUAUGAAGUUUAAACCAGUUCUGCUUGUUACAUUUGUUUUAAAAUCCUCUCUGUUAGGAAUAUACUAUGGUAUGAUUAGGAGUUCACUUGGGAAAUCCCAAAAGCUACAAAGAAACAUGUUGAUGCUAAGUACAUUUGUGGUCUUCUCAGCAUGAUUGUACUAGCUAAGUUGUCAUGUAUAAAUCUAGAAAGAGUUCUUAACUUAAUUAUCUCUAGAUGAGGAUAGUAAAAGACUGGUGUUUAGUGAAAUGGGACGAGAUAAAUAAGCAGUAGGUAGUUAGCUGCACAUAUUAUAUCCUGUGCCAAAUGUACGCUUUAGUUUGACAAUUUGCUAGUGUCAUUUUUCUUGAGCUUAACUAGACUUCCUAAUGUACAGGGGUGCUGCUAUGUGAGAGUCUAAAUUACUUGUUUUGGGCUUCCUUUUGUCUAGAAACAGUCACCAAAAAAAAAGUGUUAGUUUGCCUUUUGGCUCUAAGUUUCCAGUUAUAUGUACUUAAUUGGCUAUCUCUGUAUUUUUUUUUCAAGUUUGGAAACAAAUAUGAAUUAGUUUAUAUGCUUAUGUACUCACUUGAAUGAAAUAUGGAUAAGAGAGGAUCUAGUGACUGCUUUUGUUGCUUUUAUAUGUCCACAAGUAUGAAUAAUGAAUUUAUGAGGCAUGUCGAGCUUGUUAAGGGUAUGCGAGAAUUCUUGGCUGUUUAAUCUAGCACAUUUUCUGACUUGAAGAGUUCCUUUAAACGUUCUGACUUAAGAAACUUAGCUAAGGGUCUACAUGUUUUAAUGACUAAAAGUUGCUUACUCUUAAAAAAUUCACCUGCUUGUUGUAACAGCUUUGUUGCAUUCUAGCUAUGCCUUAAUAGACUCCAUUAGCCUAAAAAGGGACCUGCACUAUGUAGAGUUGGAUUAAUUGUUUUGCUUGGAAGAAUGGUGGUCAGUCGUGUUGCAUCCGUUCUUGGGCCUUUUUUUUGUAGUUGCCGAUUUGUCGAGGCGUGUAAUGUGACCAUAGCUGUACUAUUUUAUUUGUAUCUCCUGGUUUCAUGAAUCAAUAAGUAAAGAAUGCAUAUUUUGGUCGACCUUCCUAGACAGAUUUGGUCUCUUUACUCCCAUACUUUGUAGGGUGCCUUACAUGUUGUCUUGGAGUCUUGAAAAUAAAGGUGUGAGCUUGUUGAACAACCUAUUAUCAUGUUUAAGAAUUUCAAGUUGAACUCGUAGUUGCGUUAUAUUUUGUUCAUAUUUUAGCUCAAAAGUUGAUGUGCUUUGAUCUGGAUGCUUAAAACCAUUUGAGUCGUCUAAAGCGAUCAGUUGGACAAAGUUACUUAUCUCAUAUUAUUGUAUUUCCCCCUCUGGUGGAACAUUAAAACAUAAAAUAAGGCUUUGGAUGUGAUCAUGGUUUAAAUGUUUGUGAGCUAAUUUUUGAGACUACAUACUAGAUUUUUUGACGUAGGAGAUCUUCUUAUGAUUUAACUAGAUUCUGGAAAUAAUUAGUAUUUUUGUGCCUUGUUUUAAUUACAACGUGUAGCAUUUGAUGUUAAUUAUUUCGAUCUAUGAUUAUUGGGAUUGUAACUCUAAUCCUUUUCUUUUCUUUCUUUUUACAUGAACACCAUGGGAGUUUGUUGGAGUUGUGGCUCAACUCUAAUUCUGCCCAGGUCAUAAGAGCGGCCAGCAGCAGAUUAUUUGCUCGUCUCUAGCAGUCCCACCGCGUCCACGUCUCGAGUCUCCGUCCUUCUUCCUUAUUCAAAAUUUCAAGCCUCCAUAUUGUUUGAUACAUGCUGUUUAUAUUAUUUGACUAACACUCUUUGUGAAUUUGUAUUUUUGUAGUUUUGUUUUGAACGUGUAACUUGACUUGAGUAUAUUACUAAGUUUAGUCAUUAUCUUCCCUA